This 303-nucleotide ribosomal RNA is filed under the name Triticum aestivum (bread wheat). RNAcentral describes it as "partial small subunit ribosomal RNA". Lineage: Eukaryota; Viridiplantae; Streptophyta; Magnoliopsida; Poales; Poaceae. The record is from RNAcentral.
AUGAGUUUUGACUCUCGGGGAACAUAUGAUUUCUACAAUCUUUAUUCAUGGGAGCUCGGAUUUGGUAUAAGAUAUGGCAAGAGCGGUCUGAAUGUCGAGCUGACGAAGGGUAUGCAAGAAAUUGUGUGUGGAUGCUUGGGGAAGCCUGAGCAGCAAAACAGCCGGUCUUGCCGGUGCAAAUGCCCUGCAAUGUUUUCGAGGAUGGGGCUUACUAGGUCGAGGAAAUUGAAAGGAAGAAGUACAUUGCAAGACACAACAAUGUCGACAACUGUGGGAAGUGGAGCAAGGUUGUUUAUGAGGUGA